This is a long non-coding RNA of Thalassophryne amazonica, 97 nucleotides long. RefSeq lists it as uncharacterized. The record is from RefSeq and is a predicted model, not a curated record. The transcript has 3 exons. NCBI's taxonomy places the organism in Eukaryota, Metazoa, Chordata, Actinopteri, Batrachoidiformes, Batrachoididae.
AUUUAGUAAUAAUGAUUUCCACAUGUUUUGAAAGUGUUCAUCUCUUGAAACUACUGUAUGCAGUAAUGUUUAGUGUUGAAUAUAUUGUGUUUUCAUU